GGAAAUAAAAUAAACAGAAAACAGAGCUGGAAAUUGGAGAUGGAAUUAUAAUACUUUUGAUGAUUCACUUUUUUGUGAUUUAAGCAGCGAGCGAGUGAGAUGGCCUAAGCAACAGCUAUAUGUCCUCACAACAGGAGCCGACAGAGGAGAGACAUCCUGCCGACCAACACGGCACAUCUUCAACAGAGGCUGGAGCUUCCACCAAAGCAGCUGGA
This 215-nucleotide small RNA is filed under the name Drosophila ananassae. RNAcentral describes it as "GF27527". Lineage: Eukaryota; Metazoa; Arthropoda; Insecta; Diptera; Drosophilidae. The record is from RNAcentral.